CUGGCGGCAGGCUUAACACAUGCAAGUCCAGCGGGGAAGGGUAGCUUGCUAUCUGACCUAGCGGCGGACGGGUGAGUAAUGCUUAGGAAUCUGCCUAUUAGUGGGGGACAACAUUCCGAAAGGAAUGCUAAUACCGCAUACGCCCUACGGGGGAAAGCAGGGGAUCUUCGGACCUUGCGCUAAUAGAUGAGCCUAAGUCAGAUUAGCUAGUUGGUGGGGUAAAGGCCUACCAAGGCGACGAUCUGUAGCGGGUCUGAGAGGAUGAUCCGCCACACUGGGACUGAGACACGGCCCAGACUCCUACGGGAGGCAGCAGUGGGGAAUAUUGGACAAUGGGCGAAAGCCUGAUCCAGCCAUGCCGCGUGUGUGAAGAAGGCCUUUUGGUUGUAAAGCACUUUAAGCGAGGAGGAGGCUACCGAGAUUAAUACUCUUGGAUAGUGGACGUUACUCGCAGAAUAAGCACCGGCUAACUCUGUGCCAGCAGCCGCGGUAAUACAGAGGGUGCGAGCGUUAAUCGGAUUUACUGGGCGUAAAGCGUGCGUAGGCGGCUUUUUAAGUCGGAUGUGAAAUCCCUGAGCUUAACUUAGGAAUUGCAUUCGAUACUGGGAAGCUAGAGUAUGGGAGAGGAUGGUAGAAUUCCAGGUGUAGCGGUGAAAUGCGUAGAGAUCUGGAGGAAUACCGAUGGCGAAGGCAGCCAUCUGGCCUAAUACUGACGCUGAGGUACGAAAGCAUGGGGAGCAAACAGGAUUAGAUACCCUGGUAGUCCAUGCCGUAAACGAUGUCUACUAGCCGUUGGGGCCUUUGAGGCUUUAGUGGCGCAGCUAACGCGAUAAGUAGACCGCCUGGGGAGUACGGUCG
RNAcentral lists this ribosomal RNA (858 nucleotides) under uncultured bacterium. Its description in RNAcentral is "bacterial SSU rRNA". It matches the Rfam family "Bacterial small subunit ribosomal RNA", at positions 36 to 888 of the family's 1533-position model. The record is from RNAcentral.